GCAGAAAUGUUUUGGUACCCUUCCCCAGAUCUGUGCCUCAACACAAUCCUGUCUCGGAGCUCUACAGAUAAUUCCUUCGACCUCAUGGCUUGGUUUUUUUCUCUGACAUGCACUGUCAAUUGUGGGACCUUAUAUAGACAGAAGAUAGACCUGAAGAAGAGACCUCAGUCUGGGAACUCCUCCACCUCCAAGAGCACCUCUCCCACCCUGACCCCAUCUCCAUCCCCCACCCCCAAGCCUGCCCUGGGGGACUCCCUGUCCUCUGCCUCC
Molecule: long non-coding RNA, 270 nt
Organism: Oncorhynchus tshawytscha (Chinook salmon)
Lineage: Eukaryota; Metazoa; Chordata; Actinopteri; Salmoniformes; Salmonidae
Source: Ensembl